AAACCCAAAGGCAUUUAGAGCAAAUCUGACAUGGGGUAAAAUUGUUUAUCAGGUCAAAAUCUAUCUGACUUGAAAUUUUCAGAUGAAUCAAACAACACGUGGUUGGGUUGUUGCCCCUGAAUUGGUAAUUUAAUGGAAAUUUUUUGGUCGUAUAUUGAUAUCACGUUGGAGUCGUCGUCUGUGUCGUCAUCGUCGUCGUAGUCUGAAGACUUUUGUUUU
This 219-nucleotide long non-coding RNA is filed under the name Mytilus galloprovincialis (Mediterranean mussel). Lineage: Eukaryota; Metazoa; Mollusca; Bivalvia; Mytilida; Mytilidae. The record is from RNAcentral.